UCAGAACAUCCUAAUCACUAGGCAGAAAUAGGCCCAUGAAAGGGAUUCUACAGGUCAUGUUCCCCAGAGAACAGAUCGGUGAAACCACAAACCCUAUACCCCUAACAUGGCAGUGGAACAGAUUAAAGCUGAAGGCAACGAAUCUUAUCUCCCUAGCGUUGCAGUAGAUUAAAGUUGAAGGCAGCAAAUCUUAUUUCCUUAGCGUUGCACUGGAAUAAAUUAAAGCUGAAGGCAGCGAAUCUUAUUUCUCUAGCGUUGCAGUGGAAUAGAUUAAAGCCACAAAUUAUGGCAGAUUUUAUCUUCUUGAAGUUGCAGUGAAGCAGAUUGAAGCCACCAAUCCUAACUUCCUGAAGUUGCAGUGGAGCGAAUUAAAACCGCAAAUCUCGUUCCCUUUGAAGUCGUGGUAGAGUAGAUUGAAGCUACAAGUCAUAUCUGAGGUUGCAGUAGAGUGAAUCGAAACAACAAGACGCAAUGGGCUAGAAUUGGGCUACUUGAAGAAGAGAAGCAUUAAGAGAGGUUAAGACUCAGCAAGACCAGGCAAAAUUGGUCAUUUUUAAGUCUUUGCUCCAUUUUCGUUACACGACAACGUGCAAAAAAAGGCAGCUGUAAUAGGCCAAUUUUGGCUUGAGCCCAAAACCAAAACAAACACAAAAAUAAACUAAAUAAAUAAAGUCCAAUAAUUAAAAGUCUAUUUACAUUACAAACCCAAACCCUAAAAAACAACCAAACUAAACUCAAAUCACUAAACCUAGCCCAAAACAAAAGAAAAAACAGCAAACCCUAGCAGCAACCUAACUGUCGCUGCCGUCGCCGUCUCUUACGCGCAGCACCUCCAUGUGUGCUACCACAUCUGUACCUGCAAAACAAACUAGAAGAGUCCAAAAGCAAAAAAAUAGUGUAAAAAAUAGAAAAAAUAGAAAAAUAAGUGGUAUUUUCGGGUUAUAAAAAGAGCCCUGAUUUUAUGUUUUUUUUAGUUACGAAUGAAUCAAAAGAAAAUAGAGAAAAAUCAAUUCAAAUACAGACCAUUUUCAAAGGUAGUUGUGUCGUUUUUAUUUUUUUAUUUUUAUUUAUUUAUUUACAUUUAUUUUUAAACAAAAAUGAGAACGAAAAGAUAAAAAUUGUACCUUUUUUGCGAAAGAGGUGCCGAUUUCGAUGAAAAUCAGGGACUUUUGAGUCGGGGAGUCGAAAAGCCCAAAAAAUGGGCAUUUUUGAUUUUUCGGCUUCCGCGAGCGGCAACGCCGUCGCCAGUAGUCGAUGGCCGGUGCAGUGGUUCGGCACUGGAGUCCUAUCGGAUUCUGGAAAGAGAGGAAAAACUUUGAGAGGUUUUUGACGGUUUUUUUUUUGAAGAAAGGAAUCAAAUGAAUUUUUGAUAAAAAAAAGUUAAUUUAUAAAGCUUUUCAAAACGGCGUCGUUUUGAUUUAAAACACCAGGCUCAAAACGGCGCCGUUUCAGGCCCUUGACCCGUGCGGUGACCCCGACCCAGAGGAAGGAUCCGCGUGUUUUUGCUUCAGUGGGAUAUUUGCGCAAAUGGUCCCUCCACUUUUUAUACUUGCUUUAAUUAGAUCCUUUUUAUUUAUUUUUAUUUCUUUUAAUUAAGCUUGUUAAUUUUGUUUUAUCGCAUUUUAAUCCUGGAUGAAGUUACGCGUUUUGGAGGAAGGAAAAAUUACCCUUUUAGUCCCUCCUUGUUAUUCGUGCGUUCAAAAGGGUCAUCCCUUUUUCAUUUACUUCUGAUUUGCCUCAAUUUUUUAAAAGCUUAAUUUAGUCUUUUUUUGUUAUUUUGGCUAUUUUAUUAUUAAUUUAAUUAUCAUAACUAUAUCAUUAAAGCAAUUUGUUUUUACGUUAUUAUUUCCAUUAUAUUUCUUAUUUACUUAUUUAAACACUUUAAAUGCACUUAUUUUUUAUGUAAUUUCAAAACUUUAAACUAUUUAUUUAUUAUUAUUUUUAUUACUACGACCCUAAGUUCACCCAUUGUUAAUAGUCCUUUUAAUAUUUCCUAGAUUAAUUUCCUCAAUGCUAUUUUGUGUGUUUAUUUAUUAAUUCUUUUUUUUUUAAUUUUGAUAUUGUCUUGUUAUGUUUUUUUUUAUAUUAUUGUCACUACCAUUAUUAUUCAUUAUUAUUAUUGUUGAUUUUAUUGUUCUUUGGUUAAUAUUAGUAUUAAAAUAAUAUAUGUUAUGUAAUCAUUAUUGUUGCAUAUGCUAUGAACUGUUUAUUAAUUCGUUUGUAUUAUAAUCAUUUGUUGGUUCGAUAUUUUAGUUUCAUAUCAUUUUAAGUACCGCAUCAAUUUUGACCUAAACGUAUUAAAAUAAUAAUAAGCCAUAUUUCGUAUUUUAGAAUUCGAAAAGUUGAUCCCUAACUUACGGGGCUUCGAUGUUUCUAAUAAAUUCAAAUAUGCGAACUAUUUUUCAAAAACGCAUCUUUUAAAUUUAUCUUGGGAAUUAAAAAAGGAUUGUGACCCAACUUACGGAAUAUGAUUUCUUCUCCGAAACUGAGAUAAUCAGAAAUUUCUAAAAAUAAAUAAGAUUUUCGGUGUUUAUUCUCGUUUCGGGAUGUAAGGUAUUGUGCCCUAACUUACGGGACAUGAUCUUUUUUCUCGAUUAACGUAAAAUACACCCUUUCCUAAUUUUUAAAUGAUUUUAAUCAAGGGAUUAUAUUUUAAAUUUCUUCAAAAUUUUCAAUUUUCGACAUUAAGACAUUAAUUAAUCAAUUAGGUACCAAUUUUGGGCAUGGCGAGGGUGCUAAUCCUUCCUCGCACGUAACCGACUCCCAAAUUUGUUUUUCUCGAGUUUCAUAAGACCAAAAUCAUUGUUUUAGUAAAAUCGAAAUGUUUUAUUAAAACGAUUAAAUUGCAAGGUGAUCCAAUCAUACCUUAAAAAAAAAAUAGUUUUGACAAUAAUAUAAUGGAAAAAUCAAGUAAAACAUUAGAUUGGCAUGAAGCAUAUCAAAUAUAACCAGCUUUGGAAAAACACUUAUUCACCUAUAAUAUCAGCAUUAAGAUCGACAUAAACACUUAUUUAAUCCUAACAUCUAAUUUAAUAUAAACAUUAUAGAAAUGUCUAGUUUUGACAACACUUAAAACAUGCUUUGGAUGACAUUUAAAACAUAUUUUUGGACAACAUUUAAACCUUACUUUGACAGCAUUUGAAACAUACUUUUGCCAGCAUUUAAAGCAUACCAAAUGUUAUAAAAAUACAAACAUGCUUCUACUCAAUUUGAAUCCGAUUAAUAUAUAUAAAUUAACUCCAUAUAACUACUUCAACAUAAAUCAAAUCUUUCUUAGCAUUGGACUAUAGCAAUAAUAAUAUAAAAUAUCAUAACAUACCAAAUUUAAUAAACAUCAAACCAAUCAAUUGUUCACCAUAAACUUCGAGCUAUUCAUAUCGUAAUCAUUUAAUUCAUAUUUUUCGAUUUAAUCCUUUGAUGCCAAAAACAUUAUAUAAAUAACAGUUCAAAUAUUAAGCAAAACAAUAUAAUAAAAAAUGCAUAUUAAUCAAUAAAAUAAAUCUCAUAUGAACUUACCUGACAAAAAUAGCGACACACAAAACGUCAAGGACUAAUUCGCCAAUUAGCUCAAAUCUCGAUCUAUAUAAUAAUUUAUUCCAAUUAUCAGUCUCAAGUGUUUUAUAACGUUCAAUAUAAUGCAUAUUUCUUCCUAUUAAUAUUUUCAAAAUUUCCCUAAAAUUUUUCAUUUUAUUCAAUUUAGUCUUUAAAACCGAAACAAGCUUAACUUUCAUAUUUGAGCUAAACCCAUUUCAAUUUCAUCCUUCAACAGCCCUUUAUUAUCAAUAAUUACAUAAAUUUCAUAUCAAUUUUGAUAUACUCACGAUUUAGUCACUAUGUUCAAAAUUAACAAUUUUCACUUUACGAAUUAGUCAUUUUUCAUAUCUAAACUUAAAAGUUAACCAUUUAACACCAAAACUUCAAACAUUCAACUAAAGUAAUGCACUCAAAUUUUAACAAUAACAAAUUUUUUCACAUGGGUUAAUUAACUUAAAGUACCAUAAUUCUAAAAACAUAAAAAUUAUGAAAAAAGAACUAAAUUGAACUAACCAAAUUUAGCUCAAGACUUUUGAACUCUGGUCGUGCGUUUUUCUUUUCUCCCCUGCACCGAGCUUGGAAG
RNAcentral lists this long non-coding RNA (4117 nucleotides) under Gossypium raimondii (Peruvian cotton). RNAcentral describes it as "long non-coding RNA (GRAI_LNC010056)". The record is from RNAcentral. Lineage: Eukaryota; Viridiplantae; Streptophyta; Magnoliopsida; Malvales; Malvaceae.